Molecule: ribosomal RNA, 253 nt
Filed under: uncultured bacterium
Lineage: Bacteria
Description: partial 16S ribosomal RNA
Rfam family: Bacterial small subunit ribosomal RNA
Source: RNAcentral
GACAGAGGUGCCGAGCGUUAGGCGGAAUCACUGGGCUUAAAGCGUGUGUAGGCGGACGUCUAAGUACCUUGUGAAAUCCCACGGCUCACCCGUGGAACUGCUGGGCAUACUGGGCGUCUUGGGCCAACUAGGGGCAGCCGGAACAAGCGGUGGAGCGGUGAAAUGCGUAGAUAUCGCUUGGAACGCCGAAGGUGAAAACAGGCUGCUGGGGUUGUGCCGACGCUGAGACACGAAAGCCAGGGGAGCAAACGGG